Molecule: ribosomal RNA, 836 nt
Filed under: Escherichia coli
Lineage: Bacteria; Pseudomonadati; Pseudomonadota; Gammaproteobacteria; Enterobacterales; Enterobacteriaceae
Description: partial 23S ribosomal RNA
Rfam family: Bacterial large subunit ribosomal RNA
Source: RNAcentral
CGGGACACGUGGUAUCCUGUCUGAAUAUGGGGGGACCAUCCUCCAAGGCUAAAUACUCCUGACUGACCGAUAGUGAACCAGUACCGUGAGGGAAAGGCGAAAAGAACCCCGGCGAGGGGAGUGAAAAAGAACCUGAAACCGUGUACGUACAAGCAGUGGGAGCACGCUUAGGCGUGUGACUGCGUACCUUUUGUAUAAUGGGUCAGCGACUUAUAUUCUGUAGCAAGGUUAACCGAAUAGGGGAGCCGAAGGGAAACCGAGUCUUAACUGGGCGUUAAGUUGCAGGGUAUAGACCCGAAACCCGGUGAUCUAGCCAUGGGCAGGUUGAAGGUUGGGUAACACUAACUGGAGGACCGAACCGACUAAUGUUGAAAAAUUAGCGGAUGACUUGUGGCUGGGGGUGAAAGGCCAAUCAAACCGGGAGAUAGCUGGUUCUCCCCGAAAGCUAUUUAGGUAGCGCCUCGUGAAUUCAUCUCCGGGGGUAGAGCACUGUUUCGGCAAGGGGGUCAUCCCGACUUACCAACCCGAUGCAAACUGCGAAUACCGGAGAAUGUUAUCACGGGAGACACACGGCGGGUGCUAACGUCCGUCGUGAAGAGGGAAACAACCCAGACCGCCAGCUAAGGUCCCAAAGUCAUGGUUAAGUGGGAAACGAUGUGGGAAGGCCCAGACAGCCAGGAUGUUGGCUUAGAAGCAGCCAUCAUUUAAAGAAAGCGUAAUAGCUCACUGGUCGAGUCGGCCUGCGCGGAAGAUGUAACGGGGCUAAACCAUGCACCGAAGCUGCGGCAGCGACGCUUAUGCGUUGUUGGGUAGGGGAGCGUUCUGUAAGCCUGCGA